Molecule: ribosomal RNA, 465 nt
Filed under: Vreelandella stevensii
Lineage: Bacteria; Pseudomonadati; Pseudomonadota; Gammaproteobacteria; Oceanospirillales; Halomonadaceae
Description: partial 16S ribosomal RNA
Rfam family: Bacterial small subunit ribosomal RNA
Source: RNAcentral
CCUACGGGAGGCUGCAGUGGGGAAUAUUGGACAAUGGGGGGAACCCUGAUCCAGCCAUGCCGCGUGUGUGAAGAAGGCCCUCGGGUUGUAAAGCACUUUCAGUGAGGAAGAACGCCUGGUGGUUAAUACCCAUCAGGAAAGACAUCACUCACAGAAGAAGCACCGGCUAACUCCGUGCCAGCAGCCGCGGUAAUACGGAGGGUGCGAGCGUUAAUCGGAAUUACUGGGUGUAAAGCGCGCGUAGGUGGCUUGAUAAGCCGGUUGUGAAAGCCCCGGGCUCAACCUGGGAACGGCAUCCGGAACUGUCAAGCUAGAGUGCAGGAGAGGAAGGUAGAAUUCCCGGUGUAGCGGUGAAAUGCGUAGAGAUCGGGAGGAAUACCAGUGGCGAAGGCGGCCUUCUGGACUGACACUGACACUGAGGUGCGAAAGCGUGGGUAGCAAACAGGAUUAGAUACCCCAGUAGUC